UAGGGAAUCUUCGGCAAUGGACGAAAGUCUGACCGAGCAACGCCGCGUGAGUGAAGAAGGUUUUCGGAUCGUAAAACUCUGUUGGUAGAGAAGAAUGACAUUGAGAGUAACUGUUCAAUGUGUGACGGUAUCUUACCAGAAAGGAACGGCUAAAUACGUGCCAG
This 164-nucleotide ribosomal RNA is filed under the name uncultured bacterium. RNAcentral's name for it is "partial 16S rRNA". It matches the Rfam family "Bacterial small subunit ribosomal RNA", at positions 355 to 511 of the family's 1533-position model. The record is from RNAcentral.